UAACAUUCCGAAAGGAGUGCUAAUACCGCAUAAGACCACGCCCUCGAAAGAGGAAGCGGUCAAAGCUGGCCUCUAUACAUAAGCUAGCACUCGAAAAUGAGCCCGCGGAGCAUCAGCUAGUUGGUGAGGUAAUGGCUCACCAAGGCUUAGACGCUUAGCUGGUCUGAGAGGAUGAUCAGCCACACUGGAACUGAGACACGGUCCAG
This 206-nucleotide ribosomal RNA is filed under the name uncultured bacterium. RNAcentral's name for it is "partial 16S ribosomal RNA". It matches the Rfam family "Bacterial small subunit ribosomal RNA", at positions 144 to 334 of the family's 1533-position model. The record is from RNAcentral.